GGAUAUAGCUCAGUGGUAGAGCACAUGUUUAACAAGCACAAGGCCCUGGGUUCAGUUCCCAGUGUUC
Molecule: transfer RNA, 67 nt
Filed under: Camelus bactrianus (Bactrian camel)
Lineage: Eukaryota; Metazoa; Chordata; Mammalia; Artiodactyla; Camelidae
Also listed under: 2 other names
Rfam family: tRNA
About the family: Transfer RNA (tRNA) molecules are approximately 80 nucleotides in length. Their secondary structure includes four short double-helical elements and three loops (D, anti-codon, and T loops). Further hydrogen bonds mediate the characteristic L-shaped molecular structure. tRNAs have two regions of fundamental functional importance: the anti-codon, which is responsible for specific mRNA codon recognition, and the 3' end, to which the tRNAs corresponding amino acid is attached (by aminoacyl-tRNA synthetases). tRNAs cope with the degeneracy of the genetic code in two manners: having more than one tRNA (with a specific anti-codon) for a particular amino acid; and 'wobble' base-pairing, i.e. permitting non-standard base-pairing at the 3rd anti-codon position.
Source: Rfam by way of RNAcentral